UUAAGUGACUAAGCGUACAAGGUGGAUGCCUUGGCAAUCAGAGGCGAUGAAGGACGUGCUAAUCUGCGAAAAGCUUGGAUGAGUCGAUAAGAGGCGUUUAAUCCAAGAUGUCCGAAUGGGGAAACCCAGUAGAUGAAGAAUCUACUAUCACUUACUGAAUCCAUAGGUAAGUGAGGCAAACCGGGAGAACUGAAACAUCUAAGUACCCCGAGGAAAAGAAAUCAACCGAGAUUUCGUUAGUAGCGGCGAGCGAACGCGAAGGAGCCUGUUAGUGAUAAUGACAGAGACAGAGGAACAAGCUGGGAAGCUUGGCGAUACAGGGUGAUAGCCCCGUACUCGAAGUCCAGGUCAUGGUACUAAGCUAACGACAAGUAGGGCGGGACACGUGAUAUCCUGUUUGAAGAUGGGGGGACCAUCCUCCAAGGCUAAAUACUCCUGAUUGACCGAUAGUGAACCAGUACUGUGAAGGAAAGGCGAAAAGAACCCCGGUGAGGGGAGUGAAAUAGAACCUGAAACCUUGUACGUACAAGCAGUGGGAGCCCUUUAAGGGUGACUGCGUACCUUUUGUAUAAUGGGUCAGCGACUUAUAUUUUGUAGCGAGGUUAACCGAAUAGGGGAGCCGAAGGGAAACCGAGUCUUAACUGGGCGUCUAGUUGCAAGGUAUAGACCCGAAACCCGGUGAUCUAGCCAUGGGCAGGUUGAAGGUUGGGUAACACUAACUGGAGGACCGAACCGACUAAUGUUGAAAAAUUAGCGGAUGACUUGUGGCUGGGGGUGAAAGGCCAAUCAAACCGGGAGAUAGCUGGUUCUCCCCGAAAUCUAUUUAGGUAGAGCCUUGAGCGGACACCUUCGGGGGUAGAGCACUGUUUCGGCUAGGGGUCCAUCCCGGAUUACCAACCCGAUGCAAACUACGAAUACCGAAGAGUGAUACUCAGGAGACACACGGCGGGUGCUAACGUCCGUCGUGGAGAGGGAAACAACCCAGACCGCCAGCUAAGGUCCCAAAGUCUAUAUUAAGUGGGAAACGAAGUGGGAAGGCUUAGACAGCUAGGAUGUUGGCUUAGAAGCAGCCAUCAUUUAAAGAAAGCGUAAUAGCUCACUAGUCGAGUCGGCCUGCGCGGAAGAUGUAACGGGGCUCAAAUAUAGCACCGAAGCUGCGGCAUCAGUAGCAAUACUGUUGGGUAGGGGAGCGUUCUGUAAGCGGAUGAAGGUGGCUCGAGAGGGCUGCUGGACGUAUCAGAAGUGCGAAUGCUGACAUAAGUAACGAUAAAACGGGUGAAAAACCCGUUCGCCGGAAGACCAAGGGUUCCUGUCCAACGUUAAUCGGGGCAGGGUGAGUCGGCCCCUAAGGCGAGGCUGAAAAGCGUAGUCGAUGGGAAACGGGUUAAUAUUCCCGUACUUGGAUAAACUGCGAUGUGGGGACGGAGCAGGUUAGGUUAUCGCACUGUUGGAUAUGUGCGUUUAAGUUGGUAGGUGAGAAGUUUAGGCAAAUCCGGACUUCUUUAACACCGAGAGAUGAUGACGAGGCUCUACGGAGCUGAAGUAACCGAUACCACACUUCCAGGAAAAGCCACUAAGCUUCAGGUUUAUCUAAACCGUACUGAAAACCGACACAGGUGGUCAGGUAGAGAAUACUCAGGCGCUUGAGAGAACUCGGGUGAAGGAACUAGGCAAAAUAGCACCGUAACUUCGGGAGAAGGUGCGCCGGCGUAGAUUGUAGUCCCUUGCGGGCGAAGGUUGAACCGGUCGAAGAUACCAGCUGGCUGCAACUGUUUAUUAAAAACACAGCACUCUGCAAACACGAAAGUGGACGUAUAGGGUGUGAUGCCUGCCCGGUGCUGGAAGGUUAAUUGAUGGUGUAAUCGAAAGAGAAGCUCCUGAUCGAAGCCCCAGUAAACGGCGGCCGUAACUAUAACGGUCCUAAGGUAGCGAAAUUCCUUGUCGGGU
Molecule: ribosomal RNA, 1947 nt
Filed under: human metagenome
Description: bacterial LSU rRNA
Rfam family: Bacterial large subunit ribosomal RNA
Source: RNAcentral